CCUACGGGAGGCAGCAGUGUGGAAUAUUGGUCAAUGGACGAAAGUCUGAACCAGCCAUGCCGCGUGCAGGAAGACGGUCCUAUGGAUUGUAAACUGCUUUUAUUCGGGAAGAACAAGCGGGUUUCGACCUGCUCUGACGGUACCGAUUGAAUAAGCACCGGCUAACUCCGUGCCAGCAGCCGCGGUAAU
This 189-nucleotide ribosomal RNA is filed under the name uncultured Dyadobacter sp. RNAcentral describes it as "partial 16S ribosomal RNA". It matches the Rfam family "Bacterial small subunit ribosomal RNA", at positions 338 to 524 of the family's 1533-position model. The record is from RNAcentral. Lineage: Bacteria; Pseudomonadati; Bacteroidota; Cytophagia; Cytophagales; Spirosomataceae.